This is a long non-coding RNA of Mustela erminea (ermine), 1146 nucleotides long. RefSeq lists it as uncharacterized. The record is from RefSeq and is a predicted model, not a curated record. NCBI's taxonomy places the organism in Eukaryota, Metazoa, Chordata, Mammalia, Carnivora, Mustelidae. The transcript is spliced from 7 exons.
ACAUUUUAUCAUCUCAGAACAAGAAGGACAGGUGAUGUAGAAAGGCAAGCGUUCCAGAAAUUUUAGAGGAACGAGCUGUAUUUGACCCAGCCGGAGGAGCACACUCUUGUUCACCUUAUUAUGCUCACGGGAGCAUCGUUACUAUGUCCUGUUUAGAAAUUUCUACAUAGCCAACUGUUUCAUGUGGAAUUAAUCAUAAUCUUUCUCUCUUAUAAUCAAGACCACUUCAAACGGAUCCUCAAAUAUUUUUCUCGACAUCUCCCAGCACACUCAGCGGCACCCGUCCACCUGCAGGAGCAGACCUCCAGAGUGGGGUUAGACUUCCUUCCUGGGAAUCCAGAGUAGGCCACUUACUCACACUGUGGCCUGCGGCUAGCUGCCUAACCUCUCCACCGCUCAGCUUCUUCGUGUGUAACAUGGAAAAAGUAGUUAAUACUUACCUCAUAGGUUUGUUAUGAAGCGCCCAACCUGCUCUAGACUAGUCCCAUUUCUCUGAGAACCUCCUCUGUCAAAGUAGAACACGUAAGACACUUAUGUUCAGCUCAAGUUUCCCCCUUGCUGUUUUUAAGAUCAGCCUCUGUGAGCAGGUCGAGGAACUCAAAUGCUGAUAUGAUGCUAUUCAGAAGGGAGCAGGACAUACCAACAGUAUUUAUCAACACAUGUAUACAGCUGCUGAGCCACAGAGAGGAGAAAUAAGAUGAGAAAGCCAUGCUUCCCACCCUGGAAAAGCUUCUGGAUGGAAAUGGAGAAAUAUUAGACUUAAUAUCUUUAUAUUUCCUGCAUCUAUUGGAAGAUAACAACAUCCUAUCCAUCUGGCCAAAGCAUAACAGAAUUUGUUGUGUCCUUCACUAAAUCUGGGCACCUUUGGCUGUCUCUGAGCUUGGUCUGUGGAGAUCCUGUAAAAGCUCAGACUGUCUGUAUAAUUCUUCCCCAGACACAAUCAUCUGGCUUAUUUAAGAAUGUUCUGGAAUCUGUGAACUAUAAGCUCUUCCUCUUGUCAGGUUGAGAUUUUUUGGAUCCAACUAAUGUUCUCCCCUGGGUACAUCAGUAAGUCAAGAGAGAAAACUUACGAGCAAAGGAUUCUCUUGUUCUUCAGAAAUUCAACCAGAACAAGUUUCAGGUGGUAAGAGCUAGAGUCUAUACUAC